Molecule: ribosomal RNA, 253 nt
Filed under: uncultured bacterium
Lineage: Bacteria
Description: partial 16S ribosomal RNA
Rfam family: Bacterial small subunit ribosomal RNA
Source: RNAcentral
UACGGAGGGUGCUAGCGUUGUUCGGAAAUACUGGGCGUAAAGCGCACGUAGGCGGCGCAGCAAGUCAGGGGUGAAAUCCCGGGGCUCAACCUCGGAACUGCCCUUGAAACUGCAGUGCUAGAAUCUUGGAGAGGCGAGUGGAAUUCCGAGUGUAGAGGUGAAAUUCGUAGAUAUUCGGAAGAACACCAGUGGCGAAGGCGACUCGCUGGACAAGUAUUGACGCUGAGGUGCGAAAGCGUGGGGAGCAAACAGG